UAGGGAAUCUUCCGCAAUGGACGCAAGUCUGACGGAGCAACGCCGCGUGAGUGAAGAAGGAUUUCGGUUCGUAAAACUCUGUUGUUAGAGAAGAACAGCGCAUAGAGUAACUGUUAUGCGUGUGACGGUAUCUAACCAGAAAGCCACGGCUAACUACGUGCCAGCAGCCGCGGUAAUACGUAGGUGGCAAGCGUUGUCCGGAUUUAUUGGGCGUAAAGCGAGCGCCGGCGGUCAAUUAAGUCUGAUGUGAAAGCCCCCGGCUCAACCGGGGAGGGUCAUUGGAAACUGGUUGACUUGAGUGCAGAAGAGGAGAGUGGAAUUCCAUGUGUAGCGGUGAAAUGCGUAGAUAUAUGGAGGAACACCAGUGGCGAAGGCGACUCUCUGGUCUGUAACUGACGCUGAGGCUCGAAAGCGUGGGUAGCAAACAGG
This 429-nucleotide ribosomal RNA is filed under the name Bacteroidota bacterium. RNAcentral's name for it is "Bacteroidetes bacterium partial 16S ribosomal RNA". It matches the Rfam family "Bacterial small subunit ribosomal RNA", at positions 355 to 776 of the family's 1533-position model. The record is from RNAcentral. Lineage: Bacteria; Pseudomonadati; Bacteroidota.